Sander lucioperca (pikeperch) is the source of this 124-nucleotide long non-coding RNA. RefSeq lists it as uncharacterized. The record is from RefSeq and is a predicted model, not a curated record. NCBI's taxonomy places the organism in Eukaryota, Metazoa, Chordata, Actinopteri, Perciformes, Percidae. The transcript is spliced from 3 exons.
CUAGACUCGCUUCACCAGACCAUCCACAUGCUGCGGAGCAGAGAAGGUCUGGCUAGUCCACACAGCAUUCUGGGUUGGGAGAAAAACUAUAAAAAUGUGCUCUGGUUUAACGGCAUUUCUUUAA